Long non-coding RNA from Phragmites australis (common reed), 4088 nucleotides. RefSeq lists it as uncharacterized. The record is from RefSeq and is a predicted model, not a curated record. NCBI's taxonomy places the organism in Eukaryota, Viridiplantae, Streptophyta, Magnoliopsida, Poales, Poaceae. The transcript has 2 exons.
CGGAUCGCCUCGCUCACCUCGAGACAGAGUUGUUAUUUGGGUUGUCGUGGAUAGGCUUAUCAAAUCUGUGCAUUUCACCCCAAUGAGGACUACUAGUUUAGCACAUGAUUUGACUCCCUUGUACAUUAAGGAAAUAGUGGGGUUGCAUGGUGUCCUAAAAUCGAUUAUUUCAGAUUGAGAUCCCAAAUUUGUAUCCCAGUUUUGGCAGAGCUUGGGGAAUACCUUGGGUGCAAAACUCUUUCUUAACACAACUUUCUACCCACAAUCGGAUAGUCAAUCAGAAUGAACUAUCCAGAUCUUGAAGGACAUGCUUUAUGCUUGUGCCCUAUUUUGAAAAUGCUUGGAGAAUCAUCUAGCCCUAGUGGAGUUUGAUUAUAAUAAUAGCCACCGGACUAGUAUUCAAAUGGCUCUUUUUAGAUCUUGUAUGGAUGAAGGUGUGCUUCCUCUUUUGUGUUUGGUUUUCGUUGGAGAAAGAUUGUUGUUGGGGUCUAGAUUUAAUUCAACAACCAUCAAAGAAGCUAUACUGAAUAUGUUAGAACAGGUUGACUGCUCAGAGUCAACAAAAGAGCUAUAUAGAUAUCCGAAGAUGAAACCUUGAGUUGGCAGUUGACCACCAUGUUCUUCUCAGAAUGUCACCAAUCAAAGAUGUUGUAUGGUUUGGUACCUCUGAAAAAGCUUAGCCCGAGGUAAAUUGGCCCAUUUCGGGUCAUAGCCUGAGUAAGCAGUUUGGCUUACUAUCUUGAUUUACUGGAUUUGAUGAGUGGAGUACAUAAUAUCUCCUAUAUGUAUAUGCUAAGGAGAUAUCGAAGAGACCCUGAGUAUAAAAUUGACAUUGAAUCGAUCAUAGUGGAGCAAGACGUGACUAUUAAGUGUCGCCUAAUAGGCAUCUUGGACACUUCAGAGUGAAUCAUAAGUUUUGAGGUGUUUUACCUCUAUCUUAUAGUUGUUAUGGAAGCGACAGAAUUUGGGACGAAUUCUUUUAAGGAGGGGAGAGUGUAAUACCGAAUAUUAAAAAGAAGAAAGGAUACCAAAUAACUGAAAAAGAAGAAAUUGAGAAAAUUGACCAAAAGUUGACUUUAAGAACCGUUGCUCGUAUGAACAAUCGGAUACCGCAGUCGCGUUCAUCUCGUCGAGAUGAACCCAUUUUGCUAUUCACACGACCGUUCCGAGCACUUUGUGACCCGUAGCAAGCCCAAUGAAUUUAAAUCAUUGAUUUUUUUAAUAAAAAAAGGGGAUAAAGCUCUGGACGGGCCGGUCGUCAACCCGACCCAUCCAGAGAACUCUCGAACACACACUCUCUCUCUCUCAGCCAUCUCUCUUCUGCUCUCUUCACGGAACCGUGGCCCCCUCCGACCGCCGUCACUCCUGUCGGCCGAUGCCGCAACUGCGCUCGCGGCCGUCUCCGCACCGCCACCGGCCUUGCGCGCCGCAGCCACCCUCUGUCACUGGCCGCCGUCGCCGUCUACCGAGCACCGCCUGCCGUGCACGCCGUUGCGCCGCGCCGUGCACCGGCCGAGCUCCCCGCUACCGCGCCGUGCCGCCUCCGCCGGCCUAAGCUGCUCCACUAGCUGUCUCGCGCCUCCGCGCCAUCACGCCGGCUCGCCGUGCUGCUGACCGCCAUCGAGCAUCGUCGCGGUCGCUCUCCGGCCAACGUGCUUCGUUGACAGAGAGGCAGACCGAAGGAAGCAGGCACAGACCGAAGCAAGGAAGCCAGCCGAAGAAGAAAACUAGGAAAGGGAAGGAAGAGAAGGAAAAGAAAAGAAAAGAGAAAAGGAAAGAGAAGAAGAAGAAAGAAAAAAAAAGGGAAGAAAGAAAAGAAAAAAGGGAAAAGUUGGAAUUUUCGCAAUUUUGUCGGAUUCGUCGUCAAUCCUCCAAAGGUGAUUCUUCAGUAAUUCCUAGACGUUUGUGGUUGAAUUGAAUCAAUCAAUUCCCGUCAAAUAUGUGAUCAGUGAUCCGGUUUACUUUCAAUGAUUGUUGUUGAGACAAAGAUGUAACACCAAAGUGAUAUGUCUUUUCUGUUAAUUGAACAAGAUCUAAUUAGUAGAGGAGAACCUGAUUUGACUUUAAGGUGGAGGUGUCACAACUUUUCUUGCCGUAUGAGUCUCUGUUCGACAUGCUCCGAAGUAUUGACGUAUAUGUGACGUUUUUGAGUGUAGGAAGAACAUUCUUGUACUAUAUACGUUAUUGAUGUACUUUAGUACUAAAAUAUAAUUGUGCAGGUGGUAACUCUUCUGAGCGUGCUUAAGCGGAGUUUCUUUACCACCGUCGGGUAAAAGGCAAGUAACGUAGGGGUUGUAUUUCAAUGCUAUGUUUAUAUUCAUAUCUUACUUUUUGCAAGUGAAAUUGAAUUAUUCAAUAUUCUCUAAUCUAUUCCGAGCACGGAUGAUAUUACAUUCUGUCGAACUUAAAUUCAGUCAAGUAUAUCAAUUUUGAUUAUUUUGUUAGCGUCCUGAAUCAAUUGCAAUGUUAUUUAACAUGAGACAUCAAAAGAAGAAUAUAAGAAUUGACGUCAAUUCACAUGCAUACAUAUGCAUAUAUGCAUUUCAUACGGUGAUAAAGGCCGGUCACUGCCAUCGUGCGUGACUCGUACCGGUAUAUGGAGUUGCAUGAGAGGUUGGCAUCGUCCAACGCAAAACUCUCAAAUGGAGUUGCAUCAUGGCAUUCAUACAUUUGGAAAUCAUUCAAAGAAUAUAAAAUUAUGGAAUGUUUAAUGCCAUGAUAUACAGGAAACUGUAUUGGAGGUUGUCGUUGUGUUCUGUCGAUGAAUAUGUUUUAAGUGGUAACAUGGUUUCUUUAAACUCAUAUGUUUAAUUUUUCCAUUGUGAGGAAAAUGGUUGUUUUCGAAUAUAAUCUUUACUAAGUGAGGUAUGUUUAUAUUCAUAGCCGUUGCUUGCUGAGUUUGUCUCACCCCCGUUAACUCUUUUCAGGUACACUCAGGCCGUUACCGUGCAUUUUGGGAUAUAAAAUCAUUCAAAGAAUAUAAAAUUAUGGAAUGUUUAAUGCCAUGAUAUACAGGAAACUGUAUUGGAGGUUGUCGUUGUGUUCUGUCGAUGAAUAUGUUUUAAGUGGUACGCUCAGGCCGUUACCGUGCAUUUUGGGAUAUAGAAUUUGGUAACUGCACGCACUGCCUCCUCACUAUGGAAAUGAUCCAACUUGUGGUUGAAAACUAUGUUUUGUUAGUUGUCGUACUUUUAGAUGAGAUGUUGCCAAAUUUUUAUUUUUAGCUGUUUUAAGCUUAGUUGUCUAGGAGGGUGUUACACAUGGUAUAUGCUAAACAGCCCUACAGACAAUUGCAUCCAUAAAGGUUUGCCAUACUGGAUUCUUGUCCAGUGUUCAGUGUCCUUCCUGAUUCCUGCUCUGAAUUUGUUGAUGUAAUAACUGGGAAAGGUAAGCAAGUCAUGCAUGAGAAUGUUUCAGACAAAGCUAUAUACUUCACACCAAAGAAAGUGGUUCAAACCUUUCAAACUGAAGCUUCCUCCACCACUGCCAUGUAUAGAAAAAAGGCCUUCAAAUGCCCACCUCUGGUUGAAUCAGAUGUCAGAAGAAGUGGCCGAAUCAGAGAAUAGAAUAAAGGGUACAAAAGGAAUACAUGCCUGGACAAAAAUUGUCUAGCAUGCGCCAUUGACCCGCCCAAGCUCCACAAGAAUUAUCAAAAGACUUGGAGAUGAAUUCUGCAAAGUGACAAAAGGAGCUAUCACUGAUGCCAAGCUGCUAGAAAAGAAAAAGACCAAGAAGAUGCCUGAUGCAAGUACAACUGAAGACAAGAUGCCAAUCAAGAAAAAGAGUAAGAAGGUGGUACCUGAGGUUAUCACUGCAGAGAAGCUGCCUACCACUAUUGCCAGAAAGAAGAUCAAGAAGGUAGUCAGCAAGAAGAUUGACUCUUCUGUUGCCAAUGAAGACAACCAAAAAAUGAUGUUAUGGGCCAGUUCUGCACUGGCAUUUUGUGCUUUUUGGGCCAGUUUUGCAAUACCAUUUUGGGUUUCAUUUGGCAACCUUGUACUAGUCUUCUGUGUCAAGUCUCUCAAUAUUGUUCUAUCAGUUUAAACUCUCCUAGCCUCAAGAGCUUAUCUAGUAAUUUGAGCAGUGUU